AAGUCGAACGGUAACAGGAAGCAGCUUGCUGCUUUGCUGACGAGUGGCGGACGGGUGAGUAAUGUCUGGGAAACUGCCUGAUGGAGGGGGAUAACUACUGGAAACGGUAGCUAAUACCGCAUAACGUCGCAAGACCAAAGAGGGGGACCUUCGGGCCUCUUGCCAUCGGAUGUGCCCAGAUGGGAUUAGCUAGUAGGUGGGGUAAAGGCUCACCUAGGCGACGAUCCCUAGCUGGUCUGAGAGGAUGACCAGCCACACUGGAACUGAGACACGGUCCAGACUCCUACGGGAGGCAGCAGUGGGGAAUAUUGCACAAUGGGCGCAAGCCUGAUGCAGCCAUGCCGCGUGUAUGAAGAAGGCCUUCGGGUUGUAAAGUACUUUCAGCGGGGAGGAAGGGAGUAAAGUUAAUACCUUUGCUCAUUGACGUUACCCGCAGAAGAAGCACCGGCUAACUCCGUGCCAGCAGCCGCGGUAAUACGGAGGGUGCAAGCGUUAAUCGGAAUUACUGGGCGUAAAGCGCACGCAGGCGGUUUGUUAAGUCAGAUGUGAAAUCCCCGGGCUCAACCUGGGAACUGCAUCUGAUACUGGCAAGCUUGAGUCUCGUAGAGGGGGGUAGAAUUCCAGGUGUAGCGGUGAAAUGCGUAGAGAUCUGGAGGAAUACCGGUGGCGAAGGCGGCCCCCUGGACGAAGACUGACGCUCAGGUGCGAAAGCGUGGGGAGCAAACAGGAUUAGAUAG
This 737-nucleotide ribosomal RNA is filed under the name Escherichia coli. Its description in RNAcentral is "bacterial SSU rRNA". It matches the Rfam family "Bacterial small subunit ribosomal RNA", at positions 59 to 785 of the family's 1533-position model. The record is from RNAcentral. Lineage: Bacteria; Pseudomonadati; Pseudomonadota; Gammaproteobacteria; Enterobacterales; Enterobacteriaceae.